AGCGCAGACGGUUUAUUAAGUCUGAUGUGAAAGCCCGGAGCUCAACUCCGGAAUGACAUUGGAAACUGGUUAACUUGAGUGCAGUAGAGGUAAGUGGAACUCCAUGUGUAGCGGUGGAAUGCGUAGAUAUAUGGAAGAACACCAGUGGCGAAGGCGGCUUACUGGACUGCAACUGACGUUGAGGCUCGAAAGUGUGGUAGCAAACA
This 206-nucleotide ribosomal RNA is filed under the name uncultured bacterium. RNAcentral describes it as "partial 16S ribosomal RNA". It matches the Rfam family "Bacterial small subunit ribosomal RNA", at positions 568 to 774 of the family's 1533-position model. The record is from RNAcentral.